AACCUUAAAUCUUGUCACAUCACACAAAAAUGAAUAAAAAGUAUGGAUCCAUUAAACUCUUAUCGCAAUCAUAGGUCUGUCUACUCAGUACUCACGAUCCUAACUCCUAAGAGCCUACACUAAAUACAUGCACCCAAUAUUCCAUUAGAGUUUUAGUCAUGAUUUUUGUAAUUAAUCAAAACAUUAACCCAAAAAGUGUUUUUCUAAUUUUUGAAAUCAAAAUAUAUUUAAUGAAUCAAUGAUGAUGCAAAUAAGAUAUGACAAAGAAAAAAAAGUAGAAUUUUAUUUAUAUUACGAAUUAUUUUUUUUAGAUAAUAUAUUAUUGUCCAAUAAUAUAUAUAGUAAACCUUAGUUUUAUUGAAAGUUCUUUAAACUUUUGUCUAUUUAAAAUUCUAUACAGGCCGUGCAAAUUUAAUAUGGAGAAAAUCUAUUUGGCAAACAUAAUUCUGGAUUUACACUCAAAUCCAAAAAGAUCAUCAAUAACCUUCUAACAAAUAGACUCAAAACCAGCUAGCCGCCAAGGGAUCGGAUUUAAUUUCAACUCUAAUUGGGAGGUUCUGCUAAUGAGGUUAUUCUGCAAAUUACUCAUAAAACUCACUCCUAAUCUUUACUCAUGUGUGUUAAAAGGAAGAGAGGACCUUUUCUACUACCUACUACUAAAGCAGUCAAAAAUUUCCAAGAAUCCCUUAAUGUUUUGAAAUCGUAUUUUUAUCGAAAUUAAACGAAAUUACACGUGGCAUUAAGAAAGGCAUCCAAAAGAUGAUGAAAGCGUGAAGCUGAUGGAAGCCGCCUCUCAUAUGAAUCUUGUUCAAAGUCAAGGCCACAAGGUCUGACCAUCUCCUCCUCUUCUUCUCCAUCUUCUACUCUUUUCAACGGUCAAACAUUUUAUCACCUUCUCAGAAACUACACAUCUUUUUUUUUUUUCAUUUGUGCCAUAAAAAAAACCAAAAAAAUAAAUAAUUAUUCACCAAUCAGACCGUGCAAUAUGUUUUUUUAUAUAUACAGACAGAACAAACAAAUACAUAAACAUUGCAAGAAACCCAUCGCAUCAACCUUUUUUUUCUUCUUCUUCGCCCCCUUCUCCAAGCUCUCCUAACACUUUCUAUAAAUAUCUGAAAUCAGUCUUUCAUAAGAAAGGUAAAAAACUUCCAUUUUUAUGUAUGGCUGCUUCUUCUCUUCUUACUAUGGACAAUAGCAGAACCAGACGAAACAUGAGUGGUUCUGCUAAUUGGUCACAACAAACCGGAAGAACAUCAACGUCAUCUCUAGAGGACCUUGAGAUCCCAAAGUUCAGAUCUUUUGCUCCUUCUUCCAUCUCAAUCUCUCCUUCUCUUGUCUCUCCUUCCACUUGUUUCAGUCCCUCUGUUUUCCUCGAUUCCCCUGCUUUUGUCGCCUCCUCUGCUAACGUAAGCCUCUCUGUUUUUUUUUUUUUGUCAAUUUCUUUUUACAUGAAUUAGACUAAUGAUUAUCUGGGCUUCUUGUAAAGAUCAUUAAUUUAUCAUCUGUUGUUGAAGAAAAUGAAUUGUGAUCGGAAGUAAUAAAAGUCAUGGGUCAACGAUUUCUUUAGGAGAGAGAUAAACAGAGAGAGUGAGAGUGUUUUGAAAAUCAUGCUUGAUUCUAUUCUCAGGUUACGUUGCUUAAUUAUAUUGAUGUUUGCCUCCCUUGCUUGAAUUCUGAACAAAUCCCUAAUUUUAUUUGAAAACCCCUAAUUAGAGAGAAAGUUUCAAGGCAGAGUAAAUGAUAGUAUUACUGUUUUGCAGGUUCUUGCUUCUCCAACCACAGGAGCUCUUAUCACAAACGGAAGUAACCAGAAAGAUAUAAAUGAAGAAGAGAAGAAGAACAAAAACAACAUUAACUUCUUCGAUUUCUCAUUCCAGACACAGUCAUCAGGAGUUUCUGCUCCUACAACAACAACAACAAACACUUCUAUCCAUUCACAGGUAUGUUUCUCAACAGCUCAAUCCUCUAAUCCCUUUUUUCUCUCAUGGGUUGUUCCUCAACUUUAAAUGUUUUGUGUUGCAGGAACAACAGAGGAAGAACCAGUCAGAUCAAUGGAGCCAAACGGAGACUCGUCCAAACAAUCAAGCUGCAUCUUACAAUGGAAGGGAGCAAAGGAAAGGAGAAGAUGGUUACAACUGGAGAAAGUACGGACAGAAACAGGUGAAAGGGAGCGAGAAUCCUCGGAGUUACUAUAAGUGUACUUUCCCAAGCUGUCCAACGAAGAAGAAAGUGGAGCGAUCUUUGGAAGGUCAGAUAACAGAGAUUGUGUAUAAGGGAAGCCAUAACCAUCCUAAGCCUCAGUCCACCAGAAGAUCAUCUUCUUCUUCCACAUUUCAUUCAGCUGUGUUUAAUGCCGGCCUUGAUCAUCAUGGUUCUUCUGAUCAACCCAAUUCCAAUAAUAGCUUCCAUCACUCUGAUUCCUUUGCAAUCCAACAAGAGGAUAAUACUACUUCUGGUUCUAUUGGAGACGAUGAGUUUGAGCGAGGCUCAUCGGUUAUCAGCAGAGAAGAAGAAGAUUGUGGCAGUGAACCUGAAGCAAAGAGAUGGUAAGAUCAUCCAUCAAUGUCUAAAUUCGUCACUCUUUAAACAACCUAGAAUGAGAAAGUUUCUAACAUUCUUAAUGUUUGUUUUUUUGUGUGUUUUAGGAAAGGAGAACAUGAAACAAACGGUGGGAAUGGUAAUGGAAGUAAGACAGUGAGAGAGCCAAGAAUUGUCGUGCAGACAACAAGUGACAUCGACAUUCUUGAUGAUGGUUACAGAUGGAGAAAAUACGGCCAAAAGGUCGUCAAGGGAAACCCAAAUCCAAGGUAAUAACAUAAAGAUUUGAACUUCUCACUAAUUACAAUUAAUCAAGGCUCUAAGAAUCUAACAUUUGAUGUUUCUUUUGACUUGAUGAAUCUAACAGAAGCUACUACAAGUGCACAACCAUCGGUUGCCCCGUGAGAAAACAUGUUGAGAGAGCAUCACACGAUCUGAGAGCGGUAAUAACAACCUACGAAGGGAAACAUAACCACGACGUACCUGCAGCUCGUGGUAGCGGUUACGCCACAAACAGACCGUCACAGGAUUCUUCUUCAGCCCCAAUUAGACCAGCUGCUAUUGCUGGUCACUCCAAUUACACUACUUCUUCUCAAGCACCAUAUACGCUUCAGAUGCUGCAGAACAACACUAAUUCCGGGAGUUUUGGUUACGCUAUGAACAAUAAUAACAACAACCUUCAAACGCAACAAAACUUUGGUGGUGGUGGUGGGUUCUCUAGAGCAAAGGAAGAACCAAACGAGGAGUCCUCGUUUUUUGAUUCGUUUUUGUCGUGAAGAAGAACCUAUCUUUCCUUUUGUACAUUUCUGCCAGAAAAGGGUUUAUCUACUUACUAGUAAUCCUGCAGAUACUAAGACUAUAGGCUAUAGUCCAUAGAGAAAUUAUUUCAUUUGUUUUUUUUCCGUGGCUCUUGCGAGCUUUCACACGCCUGUAAUAUCUUUACUGUUUUUGUACCAUACAAGUAGAAAAAUGGAAUAAAGCCAGUCAAUUUUCACAUGUUUUCACUUUGUAUAAUAAUGUAUCAAAAGAAUAACACACACACAGUUCAAAGACGCGAAUAACAGAAGCAGUACUGUCUUGAUCAGUAUCAGCUAUAUGAACACAUAUAAAAGAAUGAGAUUUACACGUAUUGCAGAGAUGACCACGGUAUAAAAACGAUUGAAAGCACAUAUUGCAGAGAGAGGCUUGAAGCGGAUUCAGAUAAAAGAAUGAGUGGAGAGUUUGUAACCAGAGAGGAGAGCAGAGAGAGCUAAAGAGACGAAGGCGAAGAUAGCCAUGCUGAUAGCUGAAGCAGCGGAAUCAGUGAAUAUGUUAUCUUGACCUUCUCUGAAUCUGUUGGUCAAUGGAAUUGCAGAAGACGCAGCUGAUAUGAGAAGAUACGCAACAAUCUGCAAUUACAAAAAAAACAAAACUUUUUAACUGUUUUACGAAAAAGUGAUCCUCUUUUCAAUUUCUUUACAGUUUCGGUAUCUUCGUUACCUGGUCGCCGGAGAAAUCGAGCAAGAUGGAAGUCCGGCGAUCGAAGAAUUCCCUUUUCGAGAAAUGAGCAAACGUUUGCCACGCAGUGUAUAAUGUUGAAAUUAUCGCAAUCGCCAAUACAUAUCUGAAGAAAAUAAAAAAACUUGAGAGUCGAAAAAUGAGAAAUCUCAAAACUUUAACAGAAAUUCCCCGUGAAUUUCAAAACCCAAGUAUCAAAAUCGAUCAUUUCUGUAUCGGAAUUAAUGGAAUCGGACCUGUACUCUUCGUAAUCGUCGAAGUUUCGGCCGUAUCCAUGUUUAUUAGAUACCAUAAUAAUGAAUGCAAGGAGAGAGAACAAGAGACACACUCCUCUCAUAAUCGGAGACGCUUUCUUUAUCAAAUCCUCCCUUUUCCAUCUCUGAGUAAUCGCAGAAAACGACGACGUCUUAGUCUCCGUCGUCUCCGCCGGUGCCUCCACGUCGGCGGCAACUUCAACCGGUUUCUGGUUAUCGGGAUUUGUCAUGCCGAGAAUUCUCCGAUAGAUCUCAAAACUCCGAUCGGAAUCGGUUUGCUUUCAGUUCUUAUGAAUGCGAAGAAUCGGGAGAAGGGAUAACAAACUUGGAAGAAAAGAAAACUCCAAAUUUUUUGGUUGUAAAAAUAUGAUUUAAGGUUUGGGGUUUUAUUAAGCUAAAUGAGGAAAGCGCGUAACGGCGGGAGUGAUUAAGUUAAUGAAAGUGAUUAAACAGUUUAUGAAGCGCACGGCGCGUAACAAAAAGAUUCAUUUACAAAGCGUAUAAGUUAGUCGUGGCCUGCAUUUACAGACAGCGAAUCCUAGGAAUCUCAUUGGCGGACUAAAAAAUAAAAAUAAAAAAUUCGGUUAAACUUUGUUUUCCCAAUAAAAAAUCCUGACUCUUCUAAAGACUGAAGAGAAACAUAAAAUCCGUGUAAAAGAAGAAAAAUCGUUGUGUUUAAUUAGGGACGUUAAAGAAUAAUUAUAUUUACCAUGAAUUUGUUUGGAGAGUAUUUUCUAGAAACAUUGAAUAUUUGUCGUUUUAUUGUAAGUUUGAUGAAUACGGUGAUUAUCAUUAACUCAUCCUAUAAAUAUCAAGCCAUAUGUAAUUUGAGAAGUUGUGAUGCAUGUUACAUAAAUUUCAUGCAAAGAAGAAUUCGUGUUCCACAAGUUCAAGAAAUAUAUAGUUUAGAAAGUUUUAGGGUCUUUAUGACCAUAAAAAAGUUAUAGGGUCUUUAGAUAAAUUAUUAUAGGCUGUCAUUUGUUUCUUUUUUUGUUUUUGUUUUGGUUAAAACACUAAGUUUUUCUUCAUGACGAUUAUCUCUUUGGUCGUAUCUCGAAUCAAACUCGAUUUUAAGAUUGUAAACCUAGUAAAUCAGAUAUAGUGUACUAUAGAAUUAAGAUUUUGUGCGGACGUUGCAUGAUAAAUUCAUAGAUUAUCAAUGUUGUUUUAGAAAUAGAUUUAUGCUAACAUUCUGUACUUUCAAGAAGAAUUCGAUCAGGAAGAUCGUUAUAUAUACAAGCUUUCAAAACUACGAUAUAAUUCUAAUUUACUAAUUACAAGAAAGCACAAGUUUAGUUUAGCAAAAAAAAAAAGAAAAGAAAGCACAAGUCGUAUGUUUUGUUGGUUUGUCAAUGAUAGAUGAACUUCUCGCAUACUUAAAAACAAAGCAAACAAAAAAAACUACUUUACGGGGGAGAUUAGUUAUUUCGAAACUCAAGACAGUAGGUCAGGGUUAUAAUAGUUCAACAAAGUUUACAACAAGUGGAGUUCUCAAUUUUUAAGGAAGUUUAAUGAUGGAUAACAUCGUGUCCUGGACUCCUGGUUACGUUUUGAAUACAAGACCUUGACUAAGUCUACCACACUCUUGUAGUCUUCAGUAUGUUGUUUCAGAAUAUUGUUAACGACUUGGAGAACUUUAGAACUCGGCUUAGACCAAAAAAAAAAAACUUUAGAACUCGGCGUGUCAGAUUUUGCAUUGACCACCAUUAGAUAUGCUUAUCAGCAGGCAUCACAUCGAUUUGUGGCAUUGUAAGAUGUUUGAAAUUUUAAUUUAAUGUAAAUUCAUUUUACCAAACAUAAUUUAACUUUGAUUAAUUCUUAAAGAGCGUAAUUGUUUUUCAAUGCCAUAUGUGUGAUAACCUACAAAGUCUUUCAUAUUUUUUAUUAUUAAAUGCUCCAUUAUUUAAUUUAAAGGAACAUUAAGUCGGAAAAAUCAACCUUCUUACACAAAUAACAAAGGAAAAAUCUUACGUCAAUUUAUAUCUUAUCUCAUAAUAUUUUUUAAUAUAUAUAUAUAUAUAUAAUGUUCAACCAAAAAAAUAUAAAAUAUAAAUUAAUCCUGUCUUUGGCUUAUACCGAUAACAUGCAUGUAAUAUUAAAUUUGAGCUAAGGUGAAUGUUAUAAUUUGAUGUAGCUUGUAGUAAAAAAAAUUAAAGAAAUUUAUUGUUUCUUUCCUCUUAAAUCACACGAUAUAAUUUUAAAAACUGGACUAAUUUUUAUUCUUAUAAUUAGAUAUAAAAAAGCAAAAAUCAACUCAACCUUUCAUACAUAUGGUUUUCUAUAAUGCUGAAUUAACUUUUGAAUUAUCAAGUUUAUAAAAAAAAUACAUAAUUCAAAACUGUAAACUAGCCAUCACACAUUAUAACACAAAUUUAAUGAUUGAUAACAUUUUCUUACAUCAAUAAGUCAAAUUAAAUUAAAGAUAUCACAUGCUAUGCUAUUAAUCACACCCUUUAUUUACUGUAUCUCGACAUAUGUCAUAUGUAAGUUAUUGCAGAAAAUAUAUAUUAAAUAAGGGAUAUUUUGAAAAAAAAUUAUGUAUUUGGAUAAACCUAAAACGAAGGGGGCGCAUCAAAGGCACCACCGACUAAAUAACAAUAGGUUUGGGAUCAUAUUAGACCCAGCCCCGAUUCACCGUCCGGUUCUCCUUUCUCUUCAUCGUCAUCAAUCUUUCGUUUUCCUGUUUACGGUUUCUUCGCUGCCAAGAAUCGAACGACGCGAAUUGGAUCCGAAUCUCAAAUCUGCACUCCAACUCCAAUCACGAGCCCUUUGCUUUUCCCCGAUUAUCUCCUUUUGAUAUCGGUAAGUUUCCUUGUCUCUCUCUGCCCACUAUCUCUCUUGAGUCGUUCACAUUGCACCGUGACUUAAUUCGAGCUCGCUCCCGAACUGGGUUUCCCUGGUUCUGGUCGCUAAUUGUAUAAAUCGAAUCGAUUUUUCCAUUUUUGAAUGUGGGCGGUCUUCAAUUUGAUUCGAUUGUUCGUGCAUUAGGUGUUUUGUUGAUUCUCCAAGCCCUAAAUUUUUGCUGAAGUUCUUUGAGCUGGGGCUAGUAUACUUCGAUGGUAUACAACCUGGAAGGGAGAAUAAGGUUAGGGUUUUCUGUCGUGAGCACAUCCCCUGAGUUUCCGAGUUUAGGGUUUUUUUUUUGGAAUUGAUUCGGUCUGCUAAGAAGAAGAAAAGGGUUGGUUUGAGAGGAUAAUGUGUAUAUUGUGUGUUAUUCAAAAGUGGUCUCGCCGGGUUGCAACGAUGCUGCCUUGGUUGGUUUUACCGUUGAUUGGACUAUGGGCUCUGUCUCAGCUUCUUCCACCAGCUUUUCGUUUCGAAAUAACUUCUCCGAGGCUAGCUUGUGUAUUUGUGCUUUUGGUUACUUUGUUCUGGUACGAGGUCUUGAUGCCUCAGCUAUCUACUUGGCGGGUGCGGAGAAAUGCUCGUCUUAGGGAGAGAAAGCGAUUUGAAGCUAUGGAGCUGCAAAAGCUAAAGAAAACCGCUACACGGCGUUGCCGUAACUGCUCAACACCUUACCGUGACCAGAAUCCAGGUGGUGGACGGUUUAUGUGCUCAUAUUGUGGGCAUAUAUCUAAGAGGCCUGUUUUAGACAUACCUGUGCCUCCAGGGUUAGGGCUUUCUGGUUCUGGAAUUUUGAAGGAUCUUGUUGGAAGAGGUGGUAAGAUGUUGAAUGGAAAGGGAUGGAAUGAGAAUGGAUGGAUGCACGGGCCAGAAUGGUCAGAAAACAGCACAUGGACUAGCGAGUCAACCUAUUGGCGGAAUAAUAGUGGUAGUACAUUUGGAGAAGAUGAGAAUUGUUUGGGGGAUAGAUCAUAUCCUGGUGGCGUUGUUUUUGCUUGCCGACUCCUUACUUCUUUUUUUAUGAGCAUUAGGUGGCUUUGGAGAAAGAUUUUUAGCUUUAGCUCUUCGGUUGAUGAGUCGUCAACUGAUGCUGACCAGAGGCGAUUACUGUCGAGACAGGGUGAGAAUGGGACCAGCUAUCAUGAGAGCAGGGUUGAGAAAGCACGCAGAAAAGCUGAGGAGAAAAGACAAGCUAGGCUGGAAAAGGAGCAUUUGGAGGAAGAAGAGAGAAAACAACGAGAGGAAGUCGCGAGACUAGUGGAGGAACGGAGGAAGUUGAGAGAUGAAAAAAUUGAAGCCGAGAAAUGCAGCAAAUCAUCACCUGGUUCCAAGGAAAAGGAUAUUAAAAAAGAGGCAGAAAAGAAGCGCCAGGAGAGGAAGAAGGAAAAAGAUAAGACCUCUAGUAAGAGCAAUUCCGAUGCAGAAGAGCUUGACAAGAGAAUAGGAAAGGAAACUGAGCAUAAGCGUGAGCUUGAUAAGAAUAAUCAUUCCGAACAUCAGAGGCAUGCGUCUGAUAAUUCCAGGAGCCCCAUGGAAAGGAGACAUGGGCACGGGGUAGAUAAUAAUGGUACUAGUAACACUAACACGACAGGAGCUGGCGGUAGGUACUUUGAUCGAGUGAAGGGUACGUUCUUCUCUUCUUCUAAGGCUUUUACAGAUAACCGGUUCUUUGGAAGAGGUGUCAAUAUGUCUGCUACAAUUGCAAAAGAGAAUAAGCCCAUCGGCUCUACAGAUCAUUCUCAUGCAUCUGCUCAUACGAGGCAUAUUAAUCCUCCUGAAUUUGUGGCUGGAAAAUCUGGUUCAAAUGGAGGAGAAAGGAAUACUAAUCGUCCUGUAAGUGUUCUUGCCAAAUUGCUUAUGUCAUUAUGAUCCGGUUCAUGAAAGCAGUCUACUUUUUUGCAGUUAUAAAUCACCCGUCUCUUUUGAUUUCAUCUAUUUUUUGUUUGUUAAGUUGAUAAGUUUGUCAUAUAAUUUUCCAAAGUCGUUAUGUUCUUGAAGUAUGUUCAACUUAGAUUUGGUUCUAGUUUUCUUCAGCUUGUUUUAUAAGGACACUGAUAAAUAUUAUGAUGUUCCCUCAGGUUAUUACUGAGCCGCAGCCAAGUGGAGAACCUAAAAAGUCAUGGCAGCAACUAUUCACCCGUUCGCCGUCUGUGCCUGCUUCCUCCAGUGUUAAUGUUAUAAGCCGACCUAGUACAAAGCCCAAAACCGUUCAGAAUUCACAGGCUCCUUGUCAAGAUCAUUCAAUACGAACCUUUGACAAUCCAAUCAGUUUUGGGCUCCCAUCACCAUUCACUAUGCCAACAUACUCUAGCGGAUCGACUAUCGGUAGCUUAGGUUUCUCAUCUGAAAGAGAUAUUGUUCUCUCUCAGGCUGGGGAAAAUGCUCGUCCUUUUAUCCCCGAAGAAGAGCAUUUUGAAGAUCCAUGUUAUGUUCCGGAUCCAAUAUCUCUACUGGGACCUAUUUCAGAAUCACUUGAUCUAAGAGCUAAGUUUGAAACUGGUGUUGGACUGGAAAAACCCCAUUUAUUGAAGAAAUCUCCGAUUGAGUCUCCCUUGUCAAGAUUACGAGUUGCAGAUGAAAAACAGGUUAAUGAUGGAAGCUGGCAAAUGUGGAAGACCACCUUUGGCCAAGACCUACUUCUACCUUCAGAUAAUACUAGACCUAACGAGGAGAAUGGCUUGCAUCAUGUGCCUCAUAAUAGGACGUCAUCAUUAUUUGCAAAAGAUGACCCUAUUCACAGUACUUAUUCACACAGGAAGGACUGUUUUGAAAAUGAUCAGAGAAGUGGCACGUUCAGCCCCGUUGCUGGUCCAAGCAAUCAUGAUCCUUGGUCGCAGAAAAUGUUUCUCCCAGCAUCAUCCGGCACAGAGAGUCUUUUGUCGCUAAGUCGACCAGAAGAACCAGGCCCGAACAAUGUUGCAUUCAUGAGUCCAACUGGGUUGGCUCCGGAGAAUCCAUUCGAACACGCUUCUCCGAAUCACUGGCUCAAGUAAGACUAGCUUCUUCUUGCUUUUUCCCUAGGCUAUAGAACAGCCUGUUUGAAUGGUUCUGUGACACACUGAGUUUCUGUCUGGAUCGCAUUGGUUAUAGAUUAGGUAGGUUGUUUAGAACUUGGCUACAUUUGGAACAAUGGCAAAGAAGUGUAAUGAUUUUGGGUAUUGUUAAUAAUGUGCAGGAAAGUGAAGAAGACUGGGGAUGGGACUGGUAGGCAAUUUGUGGAGGGUCAAUUCCUAAACCAAGAUGUACCGUCGUUUUGGUAGUCAGAAAUUCAAGAAAGAAACAAAAAAACAAAAACAAAAGAAAAAACAUUAAAGAUCAUUUUGGGACACAACUUUUGCAGAUAUACCUCGUCUGUCUUUGUCCUCUGGUUUUCAUCAAUCUAAGAUUUUAAGUUUUUACCUAAAAAAGACGGUUAGCUUCGAUAGACUUACACAGAGGCGGACCCAUGCCUUCCCUAAUGCCACAUUUUUAAUAUUUAGAUCUAGAAAAUAACAAAAACAAUAAGUUUCAAAAUCAUAUUUAAGUAGUAAGAUCUACUUUUAUUUCGUAAUUGGUUCAAUCUAUCUUUUUAUUAUGUAUUAGAACUAGAUGUUUUUAUAUAUCAAAGUAUAAUCUAACAACAUUUUUAUGACGAAAUCAUAAACCAAAAUCAAACAAAAUAAUGAAAAUAAAUGCAUAGCCAUAAUAAUAGUUACAAUAUUUAAUUACACCAGAAUAAAGAUUUUGUGAUAACAAAAACGUUAUUACGGUUUUUAACAAGGUCGACAUCCUUAUACCAAUUAUACUCAUGAUGGUGUCAUGCAAACCUUUCAUUUGCUCUUCCAUCGAUUAGUUCAUGUGGAAGAUGUCAACCGCAAUAAUCAUCACUACAACUAUAUAUCAUUAGUAGUUUCUUCUUCUUCUUCACCAUAAAUACGAUACUCUCAUUAUCUCAUAUCCUCUACCAACAUGAAAAAUCACAUUAAUAGAACUGUGAAGUGCCAUCAUCGCUAUAACAAACUUCAUCUCUUCAUGUAAACUAUAUUUUAUAUGAUUAUCUGUUAUUUUGCUUUAUAUAUAUCUCAAUACAUGCACUUUUUAACAGUUUGCGUGGAGCUUGUUCUUUUCGUCUCAAAUAAUGGUAUAUGUGACACGUCUAUUCUCCUUGUCCAAACAGUAUUCUAUUGGUCUUUCUGAACGUCUUGGCAUGUUUUAUGGGGUUAUGAUGGCGUCUAAGAAUAUGAUUAACAAGGAAGUCAAAUAUUUUGAUCUACACGGAGAUUUUUUUUUUUUUGGUAAAAUCCUAGAAGGAGAUUUAUGCUCUCAAAAUAACGAAACAAGGAGAUUCAUAGGUUUAUCGAAGUAGCGGCAACGAUUUGAUCCAUGGUUCUAUCAGAAACUUUCAUAGCUUAGUUAAAACAACCUCAAUAGCUCAAUACAAGACCACAACCCAAAUGUAAUUGGUCCCCAAAAAAAAGACCUCACCCAAAUGCUCUUCCGAUUCCGAAACACAAUGCAGUAACGAUAAAUAUUACAAACGGUGUUGCAUGUCCCUUACCAAAAAACAAAAGGCUCAAGUUUGCAAAACACACAGUCACACACACACACAAGACUACAGAUUUCAGAUCACAGUCUUAUUCAAAUUCUCUCCGAUGAAGAAAGCAAAUUGUUUUUUUGUUAAUUAAUAUUUUUCACGAAUUGAAACUAAAAAAUUGAAUCCUUGUUCGUGCUCUUCCUUUAUUCUUCUUGUCAUUUGUAUUUAUAUUUACAAAGAGGCUCUCUGCUUCAAUGUAAACCGAACCGGUUCACCCAUUAUGUUUCUGGAAUCCUCAAUGAAUUUUUAAAAAUUAAAACUGGUUCUCUUGCUCAACCGCUGAACCUCACGAAUGCAUUACGUUGGAAAUCUCCCGAGUAAAUUGGUUUUGUGUUGAAACCAUUUUACGGUUUAGUUAGGUACCCUAUAAACCGGUUGAUUGAUCAAACGACGAAGCUUUUGCCUUAGCUCGUCGGCCCAAACUAGGCCCACAUCUCUUUGCUUGUUCUUCAUCUCCACCAUCACUAAUUCGUCUGUUAAACGGCGAAUUUUGACUACGAUAUUAGCUACUCCCUUUGGCCCUUCCAGCUUUAUCGCUCUCUCCUUCUUCUUCGCAAUCCUCAGAUUCAACUGCUUCGCUACCUCCACGACCUUUCCCAUAAUCUCCGCCGGAAACUCGUCGGAGACGAACUGAUCGCAGUGAUCCGGCGUCACGAAGUUUCCGAACAGACCGGCGAGAUUCGCCGUUGACGCCGACGCGAUUAACUCGAAGGCGUUUAGUUGAUCCCCGUUUUCCUCCAGAUCGUAAUCGUCGGCUUGGAUCCCUAUGAUUUCACUCGGAUCUACUCCAUGAUUGAACCACGGAUCUUUGAGAAUCUCCUCGACGGUGAUCCGUUUUUCUGGAUCUGGCUCCAAUAGACGGCGGAGAAGCUGCCGGAGAUCUGAAGAAGUCCAAUCCGGCAUCCUGUAUUGAGCCUUGUGGAUUUUCCGGUAGAGUCCCAUGAUGUUAGGAUCUCGAAACGGCAAGUAACCGGCGUUGAGAAGGAACAAAACGACGCCGCACGACCAGAUAUCCGCCUUAGAUCCGUCGUAGCCUUUCUUCAGGAGAAGCUCCGGCGCAACGUAAGCCGGAGUUCCGCAGAGCGUGUGGAGCAUACCGUCGGCCUGGAUCUGCUCUCUCAUCGCACUGAGACCGAAGUCGGAGACCUUCAGAUCUCGAUUCUCGUCGAGGAGAAGAUUCUCCGGCUUCAAAUCGCGGUGGAAAACACCCCUGGCGUGACAAUACCUCACGGCGGAGAUCAACUGCCGGAAAUAUUUCCGGCUUAGACUCUCCGUGAAUCGAUUGCUGGUGACUCUGGAGAAGAGCUCACCGCCUUUGGCUAGCUCCAUGACGAAAUAGAUCUUCGUCUUGGUGGCGAGGACUUCGGAGAGGAGCACGAUAUGAGGAUGACGGAGACGGCGCAUGAUAGAUAUUUCUCGCUUAACGUGCGCCGUGAGCCCGUCUUUUAAACGCUUCUUUUGGACGACUUUGAUCGCAACGCUUUCGCCGUUAUUUUGAAGAUCCUCCGCCUGGUAGACUUUGGCAAACGCGCCGAUUCCGAGAAGCUUCCCGAGAUUGUACUUACCGAACAACGCCGAUUGGUUAUCAUCUCCGACGAGGUUAACGAUGAUAGAAUCGGAAGAGUCUUCGGCCAUUUAACGAUUAAACGCAAAUGGAAACAGAGUAUACAAAUGAAAUAAUACAUGCGCGCGAUGCCUCUUCUUAUUGAAACUCCUUAACUUGCCACGUAAGUUAUUUUGUUUAGGUUUUAAAUAUUCGUUUGACUUUUUGUGGAUUAAAUAAUUAAAAGAAAGAAAAAAUCAGCAGUUAGGACAAUUUCAAUGCAAAAGUUUUACUAACUCCGAAUUACAGUGGCGUAUGUAUUAACAAGGUUAGAAAAAGAGUCAUUUUAUCCCUAAUACUAGUAACUUAAGAUUCAAGGAACUGCUUUUUCAUGAUUAUUUUUUCCAAUGUUUGGUUAAUGUUUUCAAUUACCGGCGGCAAAAAAAUAUCUACCUUCUGAGGUCAACCAAGACAUUUUAAUCCCACUAUUCCAGGUGCGAUUCAAGUCUUUAUUAAUAUUUUAUAUGUAGGGGUUGAGAAAACUCGAUAAAAAAUAAACAUUCCUUGUUGUUGUUGACAAAAAAACACCUUUAUCAAAAAGAAUUUAAAAAUCGAUUUUAAAAUAUUUGAAUAAUUUUGAAAACACAACGUGGAUUGACGUUACUGUCGUUGAAUGCUAAGCAAUUAAUACUAUUCAUUAAGAUGGUUUAAGCUACAUUACUGGUUUUAGAUGGUAGUUAAUUUGGUUCAAAGGCUGGUCGAACAAAUUCAUUUAUCCAAUCACAAAAAAAAAAAAAAACACACACACACAAAAUGUGUUUUGGUUUAUUUAGUCGGGAGGGCAGCUCUAAUAGACGGAUCAUCAUUUUGUUAGUGUGACCUGCAGAUUUUUAUAGUAACGCCAAAUGCACCUAAAUAGACAUGAUGAUAUUUGGGUCUACAUCACUACAUGUAUAAAUUUGGGAUACAAACCACCGGUUACAAACCGUUUGCAAGAUUGGUUAUAAAUGGAGCGGUUUGUUUCUAAUUGCCUCUAGCUACCAAUCAAACCAAUUACAUAUUCCAGAAUAACGUUUAAAUUUGAGUGACAAAAACAAUAACAAUUAAAUCUAAAAUAGUAUUUGAACUUCAAUGUCAGCAUAAAAUAAUCACUUUCGGAUAGCUGGAUAGUUAACUAAAAUAGGGAUUUUAAUAAUUGAUGAAGUUAUGUUAUACUAAUCUAUUUGAAACUGGAUUCGUGGAUCCCAGUCAUUCGUGUGUGGAGUAAAAUCAUACUAGUAGCCCUUUUGGUGUUGAAAAAGCCAAAAUUUAAUCCUUACACGUGAACUUGUUCAAAAAAUGUCAUCUUAAAAAAAUUAUUAAUGAUAGAUACAAAGGCAAAAAACUCGACAAAGUAAACAUACUAAAAAAGAAAAACUCUUGCUCGUUCAUGGGUUCCAGUAUGUGAAUUAGUUGUAAUAGCUUUCGUAACGGUAUUUACUAUCUACAUAUUUACAUUUUAAUUUGAUAAAUUUUUGUCAAAAUUUUAAUGACUUUAUUGCACCAACUACUAGGAAGAAUUUGGGGACGUUCAUUUCAGAGAGAUCUUAGUAAAAAUGUUGCUCCUAUAUUUAUUGUAGCUGUCAUUUAAGAAGUCCAUUCUCUUCAUCAUGAUAGUAGAAAACACCUAAGAUGUUAUGAAACAAUAAUAACAACUUUUUGUAAGAACAAUGUUAUAAGAUACCUUUUAUCAAAAAAAAUUAUAAGAUAAAUCCAACCCUAGAGACAUAUUUGCUAUAUAUAUAACACCCAUAUUGUCAGGUAAUUUUGGUUGUAUCAUCCGGUCGUGGAGUUAUAUAGCCGACCAUAAAACUUGGCCAUUGAAUCAACCAUCAGAACGAUUUACCUAGCUGCCGAGUCAACCAUUUUUUAUUGUGAUUUAUCCAUGGGAGCAUCAAUUCAUUUGAGAAAAGAAUAUACAUCACCAUUAUAUUUUUAUUAUUGAUCUUCUCAUCGUUAUCGUCAUCACGAAUAACGUCUUUGCUUCAAAGAGACACCGUCUUAAUUCCACACCGUAAGGGUGUACGUACGUAAUCCAUCGUCCGUACCAUCAAAAACCAUACCCCCACCGUCACUCUUAAUCUAUGGUGUUUCUACUUCGUCAAACAUCAUCAUGGUUUUGAUUUCUUUUUUAUUAAAAAAUCGACGAAGCAAUGUUCUAGAAAAAUCCGUCACUAAGAAUUGGACGUAUCUUCUUCGUUUUCGUGAAAAGAGCAACAUAAAAAAAUAAUCUUACAACCAUUUCAUCAAUACUGAGGGAUUGGUUUAGCUAAUUUUUCAAAGUUGUUUUUCCUUUUUCUUUUUGUUGUCGGCUUAAGAAAGUUUAGAUUACGAAAGUACAUUAAAUUCUUUUUUUAUAAAACAAUAGUUUCAUCCAAACACAUCAUCAUUAAGAGAGCCGAAACGUCUUCAAGAACUCACACAAAAGGACAACAACAUAAACUAUGUAUUACAGAUUGCUUAUAACGAAAAUUUGCGUUAUCUAAAUUCAGUCCAUGUGAGUCCAACAAAAAAAUCAAUCAUUUCUACACUGGAAUCCACAAAUUUCUGAUUUGGGUUUACAUAUACAACCAAAGCUUCCACCUAAUAGGUAAACACACUUUACCAGUCGAUAAACCAGUAAGAUUCAAAUUUAUGCAUGGCUUCCCCACAUACAAGAAUAUAUGUAUAUGUGUAUAUGAAUAUUCUAAGUGGUCAUAUGGAAUCCAUAAAUCCAAAAAGAUUGGAAUAAAAAGAGUAAGAGUAACGCAGCGAAAAUCUGAUGUGUAAAAGAGAUGGUUUUGGAAGUUGUUGCAAUAGAAGCGUAUGAUAAGAAAAGAGACAUGCACUUGAGCUCUACCGAGAAGGAAGUAGGCGAGCCAUACGCAUCUGGAUGAUAUAUGAUUUCUCCUUGACCACAUUUGAAUUCUCCUAAACUCCAUUCCUAUAUAUUGUUUCAUAGAUUUAUCAAAAGAUAUGAUUACCAUACAGUUGAUUUGAUCAUAUCAUAUAUUAUUAACAAGUGACAUAUAAAUAGUGUUGAAGUGUUCAUACGAACCUCAAGCUGGCGACCAAAAGUGACAAGGAUAGUGUCGGGAUCAGCGUGGAAAGAAAGUGGGCCUUUUCCUGAGUUGAUACGGAACUCGCAGUUCUUGGCCGGAAGGUGAAGGCUGAGUGUGUAAUGAAGCAUUUCUUCUGUCUUUUCUUUAGGCAAAGGAGGGCUUUGCUCUGUGACGUUUUCAUGAUUGUACCUGUAAACGCUGAGCACAGAUUCUCCUCUUUGUAUUCUUUUAUCAGUCUGUCUCCUUGAGUUUUCUACCAUUAUUUGCCCUAGUUUCCUUGCUACCCCUUCAAGUUUAUCAGCUACAUUCUCCAUUUCUUGGCUGCAACAAAGAUCCAAAUAUUUUAUCCAAAAUCCUCAAAUCACUUCUUUAUUCAUAAUAACAUUCAAGUUUGUUAAAAAAAGUGUGGCCCAAUAACGGCCCAAUACCUGAAACAGCGGUACCUUUCCGGUCCGAUAUACUCGCGCGCCCAUUCCAUGCGCUCCUUCCACGACCGAACCCAAACGAUCUCGUCUCUGUUUCCGACAACACUCCGGCGAAACCCGGUGUCUCUUCCCUCUAAAACUCCGAAAACCCGACCCGAUUCCCUAACAAGAGACCUAAGCUCCUCGCUCGAUAUCCCAUGGUAGCUCACACGAAACGCCCCGAACUCCCUCGCCGAUCGCACCAGACGAUCCACCGAUCCUUCUCUCCUCGACGCCAAUAGCCGGAAAUCAAUCUCCGCCGGGAUCAGGUGGCGUGAACCGCAAGAUUCACCGCCCGAAUGAGAUUCAGGGAGCGUGAGCUCUGGAACCUGGAUCGAUCUCUCGAUGAUCUCGGUGAGGAUCUCGCUCGCAGCGGAGCGAGAUCCUCUGGCUCUAGGGAUCGGAGACGGAGGAGGUGGUGGUGGAGUCAAUGAAGAUACGUUCAAUUGGCUCCUGGUUCGCAUCAGAGCCAUCGGAGAGAGAAGAUGAUCCGACGUUUUCGGGCGGGUUUCCAAUUAAUAAAAUCCGCCCCAAGAAAAAAAUGGAAAGACUUUUUUGUUUUUCGAUUGUUAGAGAAGGCACAUUCCUUUGCGUAUUUCUUUUAUUUGUUUUGUAUUCAAUUUCUUGAGAAAGUGAGGGUCCAUUACUGAAUUCGAAUGUAAGAAAAAAUUAAUAUUUUAUUUACUUCGUGUUGUUUACAUGAUUGUGAUAUGGUUUAGUGAAUGAGAAUGAUGAUGAUCAUAUAUGGUUCUGUAACUUCAUUUGCGCUGUGAAGAUUCGAAUAUGUCAGAUGGAAAAGCUUUGAGAAAUGCAUUCAUAAGAUGUUUGCCACCUUGAGUUCUUGGGCCAUUAUAUGGGCCGCAUUGAAUGUUUUGAUCCGGUCCACAUGUUUAAGUGCUAAUCAAUCUCAAGGACAAGAUAGAUAGGCUUUUGAAAAUUUGCGAAGAGACAAAGGAUUUGAAUUUCCUCUUUUAAGGACCAUAGUCCUUAGGAAGAGGAAACGAAAAAGUUUGACAUAUGUGGACAUAAGGCAAAGAAGUAAAGGUUGUCCAGCACUGUAAUAAGACAUUAAGACCAUUGAAUAAUUGAGAAACCCUUAAUCACUUGGAUCCAAUAUUUUAGUAUCCCCUUUCAUAUAUAGCUUCCCUUUUAGUAUGUUAUUAUAGACUAUAUAUCAAGCCCCAUUAACUACAUGUGGACAUGAAUGAUCAAAUUUAGUUACCCCGAAGUUGACAUGAAUGAUCAAAUCUAACAGAAACAAGUACUAUAAAGUCUGUUAAUAAGAACCCCAAGCUAAUCGAAGGGUCGUUAUUAAUAAUACAUAUGUAUAUCUGUACCAAUUCGUUUUCUCGUGGCGUAAUUAAAAUAUAAAAAUUUGUACCAACCAAGUUUUUGAAUUCGUUUUUUUAAGUUUUAGAUAAGUGGACCAAACUAAGUUAACAAGUGUAAGUUCUACAUUUUAAGUAGCAAAAGAGAAAAGUUAGCAAGUGUGGUGUGUGUGCAUAAUUGAAGUUAAAGGGCAUGCAUGUGAUUAUACACUAAUUGGUUAGUCAUAGCAUCUUCCGUACGUUAGUAAGCUUCGCUUAUGGUCCCCAUUCGAAUACUCCUUUUAUAAUUUGCUCCACCAGAUUUUGGGCAAUAAGAUGACAAAUUUAACUAUCAAAACGAAGAAUAGGAAGCAGAACCAUUCGGAGGAUAAAUUUUAUUAAAAACAGUUGUUUAUUAUUACAAAUGAUAUAUACGUAGGUGUCGCAGUAGGAGACAUGGAACAAACACCGAAGCUGUCGCUAUCAAAGAAGAUGUAAUGGAAGUGUGAAAAUAGCUUAUAAACUCUUUUGCAUGGGUCGGAGAAGACAAUCACCACCUCCCCUAAUGAUUUUGUAUUUCGAAAAUCUUCACUUUAUCGAAGAAAUUUAUUUUUAUUAUAAGAAAAUUGCAGCUAAAAUGCCUUUAAGAUGACACCAUCAUUGAAUUUUUUUUUUCAGAAUCUUUUAUAUUAUCGAAGAAAUUGUUAUUUAAAAAUUGCAAAUUGCAAUUAAGUAGAAGCCCUUAAUUAAUCCCUUUCAACAACGUAUUAUGAUGUUUAAUUUUAUCCUUAUUGUUGAACCAACAAAAUACAAUUAUCCUUAUUCUAAAUUUUGGCUAAUGAUUCAAAAUUUCACAUUUUCUUAACUCUUGUGUUAAUAAAUUAGUAAUUAAUGCUAAGGGUGCAUCAUUUAUGCAUACAAAGAUAACUAUUUCAAUAUUUUCCGUAAGAAAAUAUUUUUGUGAACCAAACAAAAAAAAAUGUUGGGAAAGGAAUAGUGCUCAAUGUAGAAGAGCUAACGUACACUUGUCAAAACCUACGUGAAACCUUGUCUUUCUUUCAUUAUGUAAACCGUGGAAGCAUUUCAAACAGACACACACGGUAAUUCUGAUAUUAGCAAGCCUAAAAUAACUUGGAUGACCAGAUUUUAAAAAGUAAACCAUAUACUAAAAAGCAUGCAUAAGGAAGCUCAAUAAACAAGGAACAUAAAAUCAUAAACUAUAAAAAAAACAUGGAAAAAAAUAGCUCAAUACACAACGUGCAUGAGGUCGGAUAUUUUCUAGUAAAGAACAUGAUUUUUCAUUGCAUCAUUGGCUUUAAGUUUCCUUUCUAUAGUUUUCAAACAUCUCGGUUUGUUUGUUAAUGACACAUUUUUAUUUAUAGUUAAAUGUUAUGUUAGUGCCGACAGAAAAAAAUAUUACAACAACAGUACAUGAAGAUGUCGGUUGAAUGAUUAAAUUUUAUGUCAUUCUGAUGGACUGUCGAUCAACUUUCAGGUAACAUCGACAAAAAUUGUAUGUAUAUAAGAUUGAGUUUUCUAAAGAAAGAGGCUUGAAUCUAAAGUCCUAAACUUUUACAGGUUAUAAAACUUUAGAACGCAAAUAUAUUGUUCGAUAGUGUUUAUCGUUACCAGUUAAGCAUUAUUCCCAGACAAAAAAUAACUAACACUGUAAAAUAUGUUUUAGAAUGUGUUUUAAUUUCCUAUGCAUCGAACCAGGACAAAGCUUCUUCGCUGUCUACAUUUUGGGGGAUAAUAUAAGAAAAACAAAACUUCAAACAUGUUUAUCAAUAGACAAUUAUUAGGUUUAGAUUUUGUGUAGCAUAUGGGAAUUUUUAUCCAUUAUUUAUUAUACAAAUUUAGAUAUAGGGUGUAGCAAUAGAUAAUAAUAGUAAUAAUAAUAAUAAUAAUAAUAAUAAUAAUAGUAAUAAUAAUAAUAAUAAUAAUAAUAAUAAUAAUAAUUAUAAUAAUAAUAAUAAUAAUAAUAAUAAUAAUAAUCCUAAUCCUAAUCCUAACAAGGUUUCUGUGAAGAUGAUAGAGUUCCGAAAGCUUUUUUCUUCUCCACUUUCAUCAUGAGUGGCAUUCUCAUCUGAUAGACAAUACUUAAUCUUUUUAAUUACAUAUAUAUGGGAUAAUUGCUUUGUUGUCUUCUGUACAUUAUCCGAAUCAAACGUCUACCAAUUAAUAACCAGUUUACAUACAAACAUAUAUAUUAAACAUUACUAUUUCAUCCCUAACGAUACUUAGUAUAUCCAAGCACAUUAUAUUAGCACUGAAUCCCGGAUACUUUCUACAUAUUCUUAUCAUAAAACCUAGUUCCCGCUUUUACAACUAAUUUUGCAAAUACAGUAAAACCUCUAUAAAUUAAUACUCGAUAAAUUAAUAAUCACUAUAAAUUAAUAAAGUUUUUUGGUCCCGAGUUGGGACCAGUGUAAAAAUCCAUCAAAUUCGAUAAGAUAAUAAAAUAAUAAUUUUUUUGAAACUCCUAUGUAAAUAUAUAGUCCCAACAAAAAUAUAAAUUAAUAAUUAUAUAAAUAUAUAUACAAAUAAAUAUAUAUAUAAUAUUUUAAAAUAUGAAUAAUGUGUUUACUUUUACUUAAAGUUGAAAGUUUAUUGGUGUUCAUCUAUUUGUUUAUUACAUCUCUAUCUCUUAUUGUUUUUUUGAUAUUCAUUCAAAUUUGUGAAGAAUUUUUGAUAUAAUAAUUGGUUUUCUUACACGUAAAUAUCUAUAAAUGUAUUGUAAUAUUGUCUUCAAUUUCAUCUUUUUGAUAAUAGCCACAGUUUCUUAUAAAUUUUGAACUUCUAAACAUGUAUAUUUUUAAUAGAUAAAUUAAUAUUCUAUUAAAAACUAUUUUGUUAUGAUAACUAUAUUUAUUAAUCAUUAUUUUUAUUAAGUUAUUAUCUUAAGUUUUUAAAUACAACAUUAUUCAAUUUUUUUUUUAAAAGUUAUAGACAAAAACUAGAUUAUCUCUAUAAAUUAAUAAUUAUUAAUUUAUAGAUAAAUUAAUAUCACGAUAAAUUAAUAAAAUUUCAUGGUUCCAACAUUAUUAAUUUAUAGAGGUUUUACUGUAUUUCUAUAUUUAACAGACCAAGAACUUGAUGAAUGUGGCCGGUCAUGUUGACAUGGCUCUUUAUUUAUAAUAAUAAAUAAAGACGUUUUAUACAGAAGUUCUUUUUAUAAAUACCCUGUUUUUUUCAUACUUCAGUCAACGUUUUAAACAUAUAUAUAUAUAUAUAUGUAUAUAUAAAUUUUAAGUGAAAUUUUUAGUGUCUAAAAUAUGUAAAAGUCUAGGCCUACUAAAACGAAGGAAUUAAAUUAUACCAAAAUUUGUAAUAAGGUAAUACAUGAAACGAUAUUUAAACAUUAAUCUCAAGAGACAAAUAUAAUAAAAAGCAAGAGUCGGCAAAUAUUUUAUGCUCCGAAAGAAACUACCAAGGUGAACUCAUAUUUUAUUUGAUUUUUUUACUAUAAAUGUCCUUGCUAUAAGUGGAAAGUAAAGUAUAAAGGAAGCAGCUUAGUUAAUUAGUUUGGUCUAACAUAAAUAUGUGGAAAUAUAUUAAACACACACACACACACACACUCCUUUACUGUCUACAUAACUAAAAGGAACAUGUUCCAAAAGAAAUAAAAAGCCCUAUAUAUAUUCUAAACAAAUGGAAAAAGGCAAGUAGAAAUGUAAAAUAAUUGAGAUUAAUUAGAGUGGACUAAUGGAACUAUGGAAGUGUGCAUAAAUACGAGGGAAAGGAACUUAAACAUUCUUCUUCUCUCUAACACACACAGAGACACUCGUUCCCAAAUUCUCUGGCAAUCCUCUUUUCGUAGUUAUCAACAAGUCUUUUUUGCUAUAAGUGAAGGGUGAUAGUAUAUAUAAUAUAUACAGAUAUCUAUAUAUAUGAGCAUGUGCAGAUCCAACAUGAAAAGUAGUGAAUCUGGAGAGAUUAUAAACGGAGAAUGCGAUGUUUCAACGUCAGUCAAAGAAGAAACUAGCGCCGGCAGCUCCAAAUUCUCGGCUGGCCUCCGUCGCAUCCCUUUGAACGAGGCUUGUUUCUUUCUUAUUUUAUUUUCUUAUACAUUUUCUUUCACAAAAUAUCGAUGGCUUAGAGAACUUACUCCGCUUAUUGUUUGAUUUCAUAGUUUUGGUGAUUGAAGAUUCAGGAUCAUAUCCACAUAUUAUUGGAGACGUUUUCUACGUUUUUAUUUAUAUUUUUUUCGAUGUUUGACAAGCGAAUUAGUUAAUUUUGAUUGAUUAUAGUAUCAUUUUCAGUCACUUUUAUCGUAUUUUGGGAUGGUACGUAAUAUGGAAUUCUUGGAACUUGAUCUUAUACGUACUGGAUUGAAUGCUGCUUUGACUGUUUGUAUAGCUUCAUAAUGGAAAGUCAUGCAUCUCUUUUAAAACAAUCAAUUUGAACAAAACCCCUGUCACAAAAAAAAAAAUACAAUCAGUUUGAAGAAAACUUAAAAUAUUUAAACUUAGUUAACAAAUGUAGUUGGGAUCCAUUAUAUGUAACCAUUGUUUAUCUCUAUAUAUAACCAAAACUUGUAUUGUCUAUAUAUAUCUAAUGUUUGAAACUUUGAAUGUGUGUGUAUGUACAUAUUCAUAUGUAUGUAUAAAGCGUCAAUAGUAUGAUAUGUUAUCUCACUUUCAUGGACUGAGAUAGAUGGUGCUUUUAUUUUGGGUUGUACUUACACAAAAAGUUUCCUAUAUAUGCUUCCUCUUAUUAUGUACAUUUUCUAUUAGUCCUUUAGUUAGUACAAGUACUUUACUAUCUUAUUAAUUCCAUUUUUUAUAUAAUCAAGUCCUUCUUGAAAUACUUCAUCUAAUUCUUUUGUAAUCUAAAUAGUAGUUCAUGAUAUUUCUACAAUAUAUGCAUUUUUUUCUAGACCGAUUUUAUGUUGUUUGAAGCAUUGAUAUUUCUAUUGAAGUUCAUGAAAUGAAAGAUAUCUAAGCUGAUUGUGUUUUCCAAAAAGAAAAUAAAAAGGUGAGCUUUUUAGAACCCAUGAUGGUUUUUAUUUAAAAAGAUCCUAGAAUGUUGGUACAGUUAGCCAUUCGCUUUUCUGUCACUUGUGAAUUUGAUUAUUCAGUUCUAAAAGUUAUAGAAUUUAAACCUUUUUUCUCUUCUUUUUCAACUUUCUCAUCCCAGUCCCAGUGGCCAUGUGAUGCGACCAUCAUCCUCGUGCUUAGGAAUUGCUCUUAUAUUUAAAUUAUAUAAUAUUUUCUCGUAUUGUAUGUAAUAUCCUUCUGUUCGAUAAAAAAAAUGUUUUAAGAAUUUUUUUCUCUUACAAAAAAAAUCGUUUUAUAUUUCGUUUAACAACUAUACUAAUGAUUGAUAUACUAAGAGAUAGCUUAAUAAAUUUUAAAUAUGUGUGAAAUAUCAUAUUGAACGAGGCUUAUAUUGGAAGUGAAAACGUAUUAAAACCAAAUCGCCUACAUAUAUUCUAGUUUUUUUUUCCAUAGAUAUAUUAUUUUCCUGUGUUAUAUAUAAUAAACGAUUAAAGACUAGAUCAUAUAAAAGUAUUUUGUUAAAUGUCAAUAUACUUAGCUCGCGCGCUUCUUUCUUUAUAUGUAUAGUAUUUUCUUGAAUGCUUGUAACUAUAAGUCUAUAAGCCCAGUACAAUAAAAUAAUGAAUGCUUUUCUUGUUUAUUUACUUUUUUAUAUGUCUCGGAUUAAUAGUUAUUGACUUGAAAAACCUAACAUAUAUUUUUUCCUCCCAUGCAGGUGGGAGAGGAAAUGUCGUCGCUCACGAAAAUAGCAUGCCCGAUCGUGAUGACAUCACUCCUCAUUUUCUCGAGAUCAAUAAUCUCAAUGUGGUUCUUGAGCCACCUCGGAAAAGUCGAACUCGCUGGUGGUGCACUCGCCAUGGGCUUUGGAAACAUCACCGGAGUCUCCGUGCUCAAAGGCCUUUCCGUUGGUAUGGACCCAAUCUGUGGCCAAGCCUUCGGUGCCAAACGUUGGACCGUACUUAGCCACACGUUUCAGAAAAUGUUCUGUCUCUUGAUUGUCGUCUCUAUUCCAAUCUCCGUCACGUGGCUCAACAUCGAACCCAUUUUCCUCAGGUUGGGUCAAGACCCGGAUAUCACACGUGUCGCCAAAACAUACAUGGUCUUCUUCGUCCCUGAGCUCUUGGCUCAAGCCAUGCUUCACCCGCUACGAACGUUCCUUAGAACGCAAGGCCUAACGUCACCAUUAACGAUAUCAGCAAUCGUAUCCAUUCUUCUUCAUCCUCUCUUUAACUACGUCUUCGUCGUGCGUAUGCGUUUAGGCGUUAAGGGCGUUGCAAUCGCAAUGGCUUUUAACACAAUGAACAUCAACGUUGGACUACUCGUUUACACGUGUUAUUCGGAUUCUUUAAUCAAACCUUGGGAAGGGCUAGCUUUGCGGUCUCUUUUCCGUGGCUGGUGGCCGCUUCUUUCUCUAGCCGCACCAAGCGCAAUCUCUGUGUGUUUGGAGUAUUGGUGGUAUGAGAUAAUGCUUUUCCUUUGUGGGCUUCUUGGAAACCCUAAAGCGAGUGUGUCCGCCAUGGGAAUACUGAUUCAAACAACGGGACUACUCUACGUAGUCCCGUUUGCUAUAAGCUGCGCUAUUGCAACUCGUGUAGGCCAUGCUCUAGGAGGUGGGCAACCUACACGAGCUCAAUGUACGACCGUGAUUGGUUUGAUACUCGCAGUAGCUUACGGUUUAUCAGCUGCUGUUUUUGUGACCGCUCUUAGGUCGGUUUGGGGAAAGAUGUUCACGGACGAACCGGAGAUUCUAGGGUUGAUUUCGUCUGCGCUUCCGAUAUUAGGGCUUUGUGAGAUCGGAAACUCGCCGCAGACGGCUGCUUGCGGAGUCUUGACGGGCACGGCAAGGCCUAAAGAUGGGGCACGCGUUAACUUAUGUGCGUUUUACAUUGUGGGCUUGCCGGUGGCUGUUACAACCACGUUUGGGUUUAAAAUUGGGUUUCGUGGGCUAUGGUAUGGACUGUUGGCUGCGCAGAUUACAUGUUUAGUUAUGAUGCUUUAUACAUUGGUUCGUACGGAUUGGGCUCACCAGGUGAAGCGAGCAGAGGAACUUACUUCUGCUGCAGCCGACAAAAGUCAUUUGUCAUCGGACGAAGAAACCGUCCAAACUGAAGUAGGAGUUGAUGAUGAUGUUGGUAGCAAUGAUUUGGAGAUUGGUUUACUACAAAACACCAACUAAUCUAGAAAUUUUAAAAUUUUCAAUCGAUCAUUUUAAUGGAUUGUUAAUUACAUAGGAAUUAUUUUGUUUUGUUUUUUUUUGCAAACUAAAAUACCCAAGAUAGAUAUUUGCAUCGUAACAUUUGAUAGGUUUUAUAAUCUUGUAAAACCAGAACGUUUCAUUUUAAUGAAAUAUUUACAUUCUUAGCCAUAAAAAUAUAUAUUUGCAUCGGAAUUGCUAACCAAUAUUUUGGCAAAACAAUCAUAAGUACCUAUUAAUUGGUUGAGUUUAUAUUAUUAGCACAUGUAAUCUAGUACGUACAUGGGUUAUCUAAUAUUUUCCCCCAUGUUUCUUUAUGUAAGUCAGCACUCAGAACUCAGAAGUAUGCAGUGAAGAAACAGUUAUCAAAAUGGCUUUGCAUUUUGUAUAUAACUAGCAACAAGUUUGAUACGGCCCAAACUUGUGAAUAUACUUGCUCAUUCUUUGUUUUUUUUAAACUCUAAAUAUAUUGCUGAUUCUGAUCAAACUAAGCUAUUUAAAAAAGAAAAGAGAUUGUUUGUAAAGCUAAAACCAGAGAAAGGAAAAUUUAACUAACUAAUCAAAUAAAGAAAAUAGAAAAAUGGAACUCAAAUAGGUUUUGGGGAAACCAUGUCUAGAUUAGCUAAGAAGACUAAAACUUACGGGAAAAAGAUAUUGAAACCGAAAUCAAGGAAAAGGGGCCAUAGUGAGCCGAACUUUAACAGGAGCAAGUAGAGUAAUUUAUUGCCAAAUUUGAUUAUUUAUAUCCAGUUAAUUUUACUGUAUCUCAGUUCAAAAUCAAUUGACACAAAACGAUGGGUAUUUAUCACAAUGUAUUCAUAAAAUAUAUUGAAAUUUCUCACUUGCAUAGAUGUUAUCCGUAUCCCAUGUAUUUACCUCAUAUGGACUUUCUGGUCACACGUGUUGUGCGUACAUAUAAUAUGUUGCAUGUGGCAUUUCGGUGCCUAAUUCUCAAGGCAUAUAUCAUGUACCCCUUUAGGCACCGACAUUUUUGAAACAGUAAAUACAGUUUCUCGUGUUAAACAGUAAAUAAGAUUACACAUGAAUAAAAAAACUACAGAAGACUUAUUUUGACGUGUUCCUACCCAUACCCAUAUCCUACAGGGAACUUUUAACACAUUUUCUGACCGAAAGAACAAUCGUUCAAAAGUAUCGAGUUAAAGAUAAGAUUACAAAAUAUUUUUUUUCCUUUCAAAAUACUUAAUUUAAACGUAUCUAUUGAUUUAUUAUGUUAAAAAUUUAAGGAUAAAUAAACUAGUGAGGUUUUGCGUAAAAAAAAAUGGUGAGCUUUCGGUUUCAAAAAAGUCUCAAACUUGAAUAAGCAUAUAAUGCAUAUAUUAAUGCUGACAGAGCAAAUUCAUUAUUCUGCAGUAGGAUGGUAGAUAGAAAAAUUACACGACUCAAUUUCUUGGUGUGUAUUGAAUGAGAAUCGAUAAAAGUGACAUGUGUAUAUAAAUUAUAAAAUGCAUCAUUGCUAUUGGGGAAAAAAAUUCGAUUUAUUUAGCAACGAUAUAUGAUUUUGAAAAAGUUACAGUCUCAAAUUCGAUAUUUAAUAAAGCCAAUAAUUUUUCGUUGUUAAACGAUUUUCACGAAUCUACCAAUUUAUCCUGAAUUAAAAAUUUUAUAUGAUAGAAUAACUUCAUGUUAAUAUGUUAUGAUUGAAAGUUAUUGUAAUAUGUUAUCAUUCGAUUUUUUUUCCGGAAAAUUAAUUAGCAUUGUUUUGAGUCUUUUGACACACUGAAUUGUUUUCUUAUUAUGAAAGGCACAUACUUGUACAUCUAAAAUAAUAUAUUUCUAUCUAUAAAUACUUAUCAAAUGAAGCACUUAGUUUUACCGGGAUAAGACUAGAAUAGGCGACGGUCGAAGUGAUGGACUUGAAAAGCAAAGCAACCGACAAUGCAUGACCCCAUCCCACCCAUGUGUCAUGCAUUCAAUUUUUUUCACAUAACGACGAACCAUCUACAUACACUCUAUGGUGUUGGAGGGCAGCGAAAACCGACACCUUCUUGUGUAUAUCCUUACGGAGAAAUUUUCAGGGAAGCAAACAAAAGUUUUAAAUAAAAUAUUCAUGUACUAAUCAAAGUCAUACUCUUAAACCUAUAGAUAUCAUAAAAGGAGAAUUUUUUGUUUAGGUUUGUUCUCUUUAAUAAACUCAUCUUGGUUUCAAGCUUAAUUUCGUUCGUAAAUUGCUACGUUUUUUUGUUAAAGAUAGUAAAUUGUUACGUUAAAAGAUUCAGAUCGUCAGAUUUGGAUUUUCUUGUCAAAAAGUAGAUUUUAUUUUUCUUGUUCGUCAAUUGUUGGAUCGUAAGAUUAUCGUCUUCGCAUAAAAAAAAUGAUGACCAAUUUAAGUACGUAUUUGACAUAUGUGAUAUGUUUAAUCUAUACUUCAAUCAUUACCAAAUUUUAUGUAUUUUGUUGUACAUGUUUAAUCAUAUAUAUUUUUCUUACCUCUGGUAAAAUCAUUUUAGCUGAUACUAUAUACCGUGUCUACAAAAUCGAUGUACUUCAUGAUCAUUCUCAUUAUGUAGAAGAUAUUGAACACAUGAUGUUAAAAUAAAUAAUAUUUAAUGAAUUUUUUUUUUUUUUGCUAAAAUAAAGUUUAAUGAUAGUUCUAUGUAAAAUAUCUAUUUUGCGUAUCCAAUGUACACCUAUUUUCCUUAUUUGUUUUUUCGUACCACAUCUAUAGAAUUUAAAACUCCUAAGAAAUAUUGGAAAUUCAAAAACAAGUACGUUGGUUGUAGAACUUUUACAUAAAAAAAUAUAAAACUGAGCUAAAAAUGUCAAACAAAAUAGAUGAGAGGUCCUACAUAAUUAGGACCUCUGCAUUAAAUGAAAUCAACAACCAACCAACUACUCCUAUUCCUCUAAUCGCAUUCACAUUACAUUUCUCUAUAUAAAUACUCGCUCCCCAAACUCUCUUCAUCACUCAUCAUUACACACACAUCUCAUUUUGCAAACCAUCGAAAACAAACCCCUAGAACUAAGAGAGAAAAUGGCUGGUCUAAUGAAGUUGGCAUGCUUGGUCUUGGCUUGCAUGAUUGUGGCCGGUCCAAUCACAGCCAAAGCGGCUCUUAGCUGUGGAACCGUUAGUAGUAGCUUGGCACCGUGCAUUGGCUACUUGACCCAAGGUACGCCCCUUCCCUUAGCGUGCUGCGCCGGCGUUAAAAGACUAAACAGCAUGGCCCGUACAACCCCGGACCGUCAGCAAGCUUGCCGUUGCCUUGUUGGAGCCGCCAACGCCUUAGGUUCCGGUCUCAACACUGGCCGUGCAUCUGGACUUCCUAAGGCAUGUGGUGUCAAUAUUCCAUACGCAAUCAGCAAAAACACUAACUGCGCCAUGUAUGUGUUAAUCUCUCACUCUCUCUGAUACAUAUGAAAACUAAAGGUUUCUUGUUUUGUUACAAUACGAAUAUACGAUGUAACUAAUAUUAAAGUUAGUUUUUUUGACAAAAUGAAGAUUUGAGUUUGCUAUAAAACGGUUUCAUGUUUUACUAAAGUUUAUAAGUCUUCCCGGUUCAACCAUGUUCCAAUAUAAAAGUUGAAUUUUUAUACCGUUGCAACAAGUAUAUAUUAAAAGUUUAUUUUUUUGAGUGGAAAUUAGAGGUUUUUAUAUAGUAACGGUGUUAUGUUUAUUUGUAUGUGGUUGCAGCGUGCGUUAAAUGAGCGGCGGUCGGAUGAAGCUCUAGCGGAUGUUUCAAAUAUUAUAUGAGACUAUGAGAGAAUACUAAAUAAGAUGUAAUGUCUGUUUUUUUUUUGAGUUUUUAGUUUCCUGUCUUUUUUUCUUUUUUCUUUUAUGGUGGCGUUCCUAUUACUUGGUCGUCUGUACUAUGUUCGCAAUCAACGUUAUAUGAGUUUCAAAGUUCACAUUAUUUUAUAUUCUUACCAAAUCUUAGUUUAGUUUCAUCGAUAUGAAAAAUGAUCAUUAUACAUUAACAAUAUAUAUAUAUAUAUAUAUUGAUUUGCAUUACAGUUGGGAAGUAACGGAUAAUUUAAAUUUAAUUUUACAGCCAAAUAAAAUAACGGGACAUUCUCCAAAUUUGUACUAUUUACUUGUUUAGACUUAAGAUAAUCGAGAAAAUGAUGGAUCGCUAUAUGGAAUCGUGACAACUCUUGGAAAACCAGGACCCUAUCUUAUAAUGUGCCCAAAACUAGGGAUUUAUUUCAGUUUGACUUAAUUAAUUUUACAGAUUAGAUAAUGAUUUGGAUAUUGGACAAACCAAUAAAAUGAACAUAACGAAAUAAUAUUUCUAUCAAAAUUUGGUUAUCUUUUCAUCAUUGUUAGUUAUUAUUUUUUCUAAUUUAAUUUAAUUUAUAAUCUACCGUGUGAUGAAUUUUUUCUAAAGAAGAAAAAUCAAAAUUCUGUUAAACUCCAUACAGCUCCCAAAAGUCUAGGCCCAAUUCUGGUUGCUCUCUCAGUGUUGCUAAUUAACUACUUUUUUUUUUAACACAUCGAGGGAAACUCAAUUUUACAAUCAAAAUCAAACCAAUAAGUCUUAACCAUGAAAUAAUACCAAAGAUGAUGAAAUACAUUAGAGAAAAACCCAUAUAAGCUGCUAUUGUUGUAGAUGAAGUUUUUUUUGCAGAUUUAUUGGAGGCAACUGUGCGUUUGGGAAACAAAAUUUGGGAGGUGAGAAGAAACUCGCGUUGUGAUAAGAAAAUAGCGCAAUCACAUUUUGACGGAAAUUUACAAAAUCAUAGUUAUACCGGAAAAUCACCGACUGUUUGUUGAAUUAGUCCAAAGAGACUCAUGUUGGUUCAAGGUUUUUGUUUGUAUAGGUGGUUAUGUGAUAGAAAUAGUCGGAUUUAUAUUUCUGUUCUUCCGAAAUAACAUUUGUUGAUUUUUCUUUGUUGAUUAUUAGUCUAAUGUGUAUAAAAAAUGAUAAAGUUAAACAAAACGGGUAAAUUAUCGUUUUGCAUAAUUUUCUUACAUAUUUAUUUGAUCCACAGCGAAAAACGGUCUUGGGACAGCAGCUCUCAAGAUUAACAGCUACAGUUUGUAAAACAAAUGUAGACUUUGUUUGAGAAAGAGGAGUUUUUUAAAGUUUUUGAAACUCAUAUGUGUUUUUCUUGUUUUGUGAAGAUAUAAUUUGUGUGUACUUAACGCAUAUAUCUAGUCUUGUAUGAGUGAAUCAAAUAUUUAAAAUAAAGAUUGCAAUGUAAAUUUCUAGACUUAUAUACAUAGUGCAUACAUAUUUGUUGAAAAAUGAGAGCAUAAUAUAUGGUUUUAAUUAUAUUAAAUUUUCGUGUUGCGUGACUUGCGUUUCAUCUCAUUAAGAAAGUUUUUACGUAUUUUGUUGGAUCCGCUAGCUAAAUUAUUUUCAUUUGUUAAUCGGAUGUAAAAGAUAUUAGUCAGAUGAUGUUAAGUAAGAUACAAUAAGAAUAUAACAUUUAGUGAUAUUUCUACGUGAAAUGACUAUUUUCUUAUCCAUGUAUAGUUUUAACAUUCUUAAAAUGAAAAUGCAAGAGAGAUUACAUACGUCUUUUUGUGGGUGGGGGGGGGGGGGGGAAAAGAACUACGGUAAAAAAUGUAAGUAUUAUAAGUUUUCAGAAAAAUAAUAUGAUUGAAAUGUCAAACAAAAUACGUAGAUGAGAAAUGAGAGGUACUCACCACUCCUACAUAAUUAGGUACUGUACAUUAAAUGUAACCAACCACCAAUCAACUAAUCAUUUCCUCUAAAUCCCAUUCACAUUCACAACAUCAAAACUUUCUUUCUCUAUAUAAACACUCACUCCCUCAACUCUCUUCAUCACCCAAUAUCACUACACUACAUACAUCUGCUUCUUCAAACAACCAAAAAAAAAACUAUAUUUCCAAGAUAAAAAGAAAAUGGCUGGUCUAAUGAAGUUGGCAUUCCUGGUCUUGGCCUGCAUGAUUGUGGCCGGUCCAAUCACAGCCAAAGCGGCUCUGACCUGUGGCACCGUUACCAGCAACGUUGCAGCGUGCAUUGGCUACAUUACCCAAGGUGGGCCCGUUCCAGGAGCUUGCUGCUCAGGCAUUAAAAACCUUAACAGCAUGGCCCGUACAACCCCGGACCGUCAACAAGCUUGUCGUUGCCUUAAAACUGCCGCUAAUGCCUUGGGCCCAAAUCUCAACGCUGGCCGUGCAGCUGGACUUCCUAAGGCUUGUGGAGUCAAUGUUCCUUUCCCAAUCAGCACCAGCACCAA
This 31459-nucleotide long non-coding RNA is filed under the name Eutrema salsugineum. RNAcentral describes it as "long non-coding RNA (ESAL_LNC001972)". Lineage: Eukaryota; Viridiplantae; Streptophyta; Magnoliopsida; Brassicales; Brassicaceae. The record is from RNAcentral.